CACGUUCUUACUGCCUGCUCAGCCUGCAUUCAUCCCACCCACCACCACCCCCACACACACGCACUCCCACUCCCCCUCCCCCAGGCCACCCCAAUCAUCACCAUGUCCGCCUACGUGUUGUCGACGCCGCUGGAGGCCCGCGUUGCGAAGUGCGCGAGCCUGCGCGCUGCGAACGCGGUGCCCGUUGUCGUGGAGGAGGCGCAGGCGCGCGGCGGCAAGGCACACUUCAGCGCGCUGGCGCGCGAGACGACGGUUGCGCAGCUUGUGGCCGCGGUGCGCGGCUUCCGCGGCGUGGACGCGAAGAAGCCGGUGGCGCUGACGGUUGCCGGCUGCAGCGUGUCGCCGUCGGCGACGCUCGGCGAGCUGCACGACGCGUGCAGGCGAGCGGACGACGGCAUGCUGUACGUCGCCUACACCGCGGAGCGCUGCAUGGGCGCUGCGGUGUGCACGCCGUGCGGCUCGUGCGCGUGGGACGGCAGCACUGCGGACGAUGACGUGAUCAUUUAAGGGUCGUGCUGAGGCGCAGCGUUCGGCCCGGCUGCUGCUGGCGCCGGUGAAGCCGCGUGGGUGUUGACGGGCUAAGCUGCAGGGCUGUUGCCGAUCCGCUCUCUGCGCAUAUGGCGUGGACCUCCGGCUCCCUUUCUCUCCCCCCUCUGCCUCGUCUUGGUGAGGCGCAGCUCCAACAUCCUCUCUGUUGUUUCCUCAUGAUUCUCUUUCCUGUGCCGUGGCCAUGCGUAACCCGCGCACGCUCUUCUCUCCUUUCGUUCCUUCCUCCCCCUCGCAUGCGGUGCCGCAGCAAUGCCGACAGCGGUACAGGCCGCCAUGUCUCCUGUUCUAUUCUACCUGAGGCAGCGCGAUCUCAUUGCUGCUGCUGCUCCGCUGCCAACACGACGCGCGCGGUCUGGACAGAGCCUGUGCGAUUUAGUGGCGUCAAUGGCUCGCCUGCGCUGGAGUUUAUGUGUACAGCUGCUUUUCGUGUUUUCCUCCUAAUCGCGUGUGUGUCGUUUGUGAAUAUGUGUGAAGGUCCUUCUCAUCGCAGCCACCUGCUGCCCCUCCCUCCCCACCUCCCUGCCAAGUACCUCAGCACCGAACGUGCAUGCCUUCUCCGUGCGUGCCCUCAUUUCCUCCGCUCGCUUCGCCACCGGUAUCGCGGACGCUGCCAGCGCGGCGAGGGAUGUGCGCCAGCGCGUGUGUUGCGAGUAUAGCCAACAGUGCACCACCUACCCCAUCCCAUCACCGCAGUAUCGCUCUCUCCGUAUAUGCCCGUUGUCGCUCCGCGUACUCGUGUUCCCCUGCCCUCAACUGAAUGCCCUGGGCCAGCACCGGCUCCCACGCCGCUCCUCUCGCUCCGGUCCGCCCACCCGCCCAUCCUCUCUCACACGCCGUCACUUCCGCCUGCACUGUCGCCAGUCUCUCCACAAUCCCUCUCUCUCUCUCUCUGACGCCCCGACCCUCGCACAG
Molecule: unclassified non-coding RNA, 1461 nt
Filed under: Leishmania donovani
Lineage: Eukaryota; Euglenozoa; Kinetoplastea; Trypanosomatida; Trypanosomatidae
Description: gene:LdHU3.09.0240(CDS-product:ATG8/AUT7/APG8/PAZ 2_putative)
Source: RNAcentral